RNAcentral lists this ribosomal RNA (394 nucleotides) under uncultured bacterium. RNAcentral describes it as "partial 16S ribosomal RNA". It matches the Rfam family "Bacterial small subunit ribosomal RNA", at positions 523 to 918 of the family's 1533-position model. The record is from RNAcentral.
ACACGUAGGGGGCGAGCGUUGUUCGGAAUCAUUGGGCGUAAAGGGCGUGCAGGCGGUCCUGCAAGUCCGGCGUGAAAGACCCCGGCCCAACCGGGGGGACGCGCUGGAAACUGCGGGGCUUGAGUACAGGAGGGGAUGCCGGAAUUCCAGGUGUAGGGGUGAAAUCUGUAGAUAUCUGGAAGAACACCAAUGGCGAAGGCAGGCAUCUGGCCAUGUACUGACGCUGAGACGCGAAGGUGCGAGGAGCAAACAGGUUUAGAUACCCUGGUAGUCCGCACAGUAAACGAUGUGCACCAGGUGGCGGGGGGUCGACCCUCGGUACCGUAGCUAACGCAUUAAGUGCACCGCCUGGGGAGUAUGCUCGCAAGGGUGAAACUCAAAUGAAUUGACGGGG